AUGAACCGGUAUGGUAUGCCAUUCAUACCCUUUGUUGGUCUUAACAAUCACCGGAAGACCACUGUUUUUGCUUAUGCCAUAGUUUCGGACGAGACCGAAGAGACAUAUGUGUGGCUGCUGGAGACUUUUUUGAGGUCCAUGUGUCAAAAGAUGCCUAUGAGUGUUAUCACGGAUGCCGACGCUGCGAUGAUCAAGGCAAUUCGCCAAGUCUUGCCAGACGUGUGGCACCGUAUAUGUACGUGGCAUAUAGAAAAAAAUAUGAAGAUUCACCUCAGUCACAAGUCCUUGAAGGAUUUCCGAACUCUGCUAUGA
Molecule: ribosomal RNA, 312 nt
Filed under: Triticum aestivum (bread wheat)
Lineage: Eukaryota; Viridiplantae; Streptophyta; Magnoliopsida; Poales; Poaceae
Description: partial small subunit ribosomal RNA
Source: RNAcentral